AGAGGUGCUGGCGAGUGGCGAACGGGUGCGUAACGCGUGGAUACCUGACUUAUAGUGGGGAACAACAGUUGGAAACGGCUGCUAAUACCGCAUGAGUCCUUAGGGGGAAAGGCUGAGAGGCUGCUAUAGGAGGGGUCCGCGUCGGGUUAGUUAGUUGGUGGGGUAAAGGCUCACCAAGGCGAUGAUCUGUAGCUGGUCUGAGAGGAUGGCCAGCCACACUGGGACUGAGAUACGGCCCAGACUCCUACGGGAGGCAGCAGUGGGGAAUAUUGCGCAAUGGGGGGAACCCUGACGCAGUGAUACCGUGUGGGUGAAGAAGGCCUUCGGGUUGUAAAGCCCUUUUAGUGUGGACGAUAGUGACGGUACACACAGAAAAAGCUCCGGCUAACUCCGUGCCAGCAGCCGCGGUAAUACAGAGGGGGCAAGCGUUGUUCGGAAUCACUGGGCGUAAAGAGCGCGUAGGCGGAUUGACAAG
This 475-nucleotide ribosomal RNA is filed under the name uncultured Magnetococcus sp. RNAcentral describes it as "bacterial SSU rRNA". It matches the Rfam family "Bacterial small subunit ribosomal RNA", at positions 81 to 587 of the family's 1533-position model. The record is from RNAcentral. Lineage: Bacteria; Pseudomonadati; Pseudomonadota; Magnetococcia; Magnetococcales; Magnetococcaceae.